GUGACCACCAGCGAGUGACCGAGUGACAGUGACCGAGUGACCAUCAGUGACCAAGUGACCAUUGCUGACCAUCACUGACCAUCACCGAGUGACCGAGUGACCGUCACCAAGUGACCAUCAGCAAGUGACCAUCACUGACCAUCACCAACUGUCACCGAGUGACCGAGUGACCAUCGCUGUCACUGAGUGACCGUCACCGAGUGACCAUCACUGAGUGACCGUCACUGACCAUCACCGUGUGACCAUCACUGAGUGACCAUCACUGACUAUCACUGAGUGACCGUCACCGAGUGACCGUCACUGAGUGACCGUCACUGACCGUCACCCCGUGCCCGUCACCGCGCAGUCGCUCAUUAAAGGUUGCCAGGCAGCCGUUGCCAGGCGUUUCCCGGUUGCCAGGCAACGGUUGCCAGGCGCCGACUGUUGUCCAGUUGUUCCCAGGGGAAUUCCCGGGGCGGGGGGAGGGGCCGUUCCAGGGUUUUCCCAAGGAAUUGUCCCGGGAUUUUCCCAGGGGCUGUUCCGGGGGGGUUCGUUGUCCCCAGGAUUGUCACUGUCACCCCCGGGAUUGUCACUGUCACCCCCAGGAUUGUCACCGUCACUUCUGGGGGUGUCACCGUCACCCCCAGGGGUGUCACUGUCACCUCUGGGAUUGUCACCAUCACCCUCGGGGGUGUCACUAUCCCUGUCUCUGUCCCUGUCACCCCCAGGAUUGUCCCUGUCACCCGCAGGGGUGUCACCGUCACUCCCGGGGGUGUCCCUGUCCCCGUCCCUGUCCCCCCCGUGCCCGUGCCCCUCAGUACGGGGAGAAGAGCAGGGGGGCG
This is a long non-coding RNA of Cyanistes caeruleus (blue tit), 821 nucleotides long. Lineage: Eukaryota; Metazoa; Chordata; Aves; Passeriformes; Paridae. The record is from Ensembl.